CAGUAGCCGCGGGAAUACGAAGGGGGCUAGCGUUGUUCGGAAUUACUGGGCGUAAAGCGCGCGUAGGCGGAUAUUUAAGUCAGGGGUGAAAUCCCAAGGCUCAACCUUGGAACUGCCUUUGAUACUGGAUAUCUGGAGUUUGGGAGAGGUGAGUGGAAUUCCGAGUGUAGAGGUGAAAUUCGUAGAUAUUCGGAGGAACACCAGAAGCGAAGGCGGCUCACUGGCCCAAUAUUGACGCUGAGGCGCGAAAGCGUGGGGAGCAAACAGGAUUAGAUACCCGCGUAGUCCCUGUCUCUUAUAC
RNAcentral lists this ribosomal RNA (301 nucleotides) under uncultured bacterium. RNAcentral's name for it is "partial 16S ribosomal RNA". It matches the Rfam family "Bacterial small subunit ribosomal RNA", at positions 509 to 807 of the family's 1533-position model. The record is from RNAcentral.